RNAcentral lists this ribosomal RNA (604 nucleotides) under uncultured Actinobacteridae bacterium. RNAcentral describes it as "bacterial SSU rRNA". It matches the Rfam family "Bacterial small subunit ribosomal RNA", at positions 252 to 866 of the family's 1533-position model. The record is from RNAcentral. Lineage: Bacteria; Bacillati; Actinomycetota; Actinomycetes.
GUGAGGUAAUGGCUUACCAAGGCGACGACGGGUAGCCGGCCUGAGAGGGUGACCGGCCACACUGGGACUGAGACACGGCUCAGACUCCUACGGGAGGCAGCAGCGGGGAAUAUUGCACAAUGGGCGAAAGCCUGAUGCAGCGACGCCGCGUGAGGGAUGACGGCCUUCGGGUUGUAAACCUCUUUCAGUAGGGAAGAAGCGAAAGUGACGGUACCUGCAGAAGAAGCGCCGGCUAACUACGUGCCAGCAGCCGCGGUAAUACGUAGGGCGCAAGCGUUAUCCGGAAUUAUUGGGCGUAAAGAGCUCGUAGGCGGUUUGUCGCGUCUGCCGUGAAAGUCCGGGGCUCAACUCCGGAUCUGCGGUGGGUACGGGCAGACUAGAGUGAUGUAGGGGAGACUGGAAUUCCUGGUGUAGCGGUGAAAUGCGCAGAUAUCAGGAGGAACACCGAUGGCGAAGGUAGGUCUCUGGGCAUUAACUGACGCUGAGGAGCGAAAGCAUGGGGAGCGAACAGGAUUAGAUACCCUGGUAGUCCAUGCCGUAAACGUUGGGCACUAGGUGUGGGGGACAUUCCACGUUUUCCGCGCCGUAGCUAACGCAUUAAGUG